RNAcentral lists this ribosomal RNA (2773 nucleotides) under Escherichia coli EPEC11. RNAcentral describes it as "bacterial LSU rRNA". It matches the Rfam family "Bacterial large subunit ribosomal RNA". Lineage: Bacteria; Pseudomonadati; Pseudomonadota; Gammaproteobacteria; Enterobacterales; Enterobacteriaceae. The record is from RNAcentral.
AGCGUACACGGUGGAUGCCCUGGCAGUCAGAGGCGAUGAAGGACGUGCUAAUCUGCGAUAAGCGUCGGUGAGGUGAUAUGAACCGUUAUAACCGGCGAUUUCCGAAUGGGGAAACCCAGUGUGUUUCGACACACUAUCAUUAACUGAAUCCAUAGGUUAAUGAGGCGAACCGGGGGAACUGAAACAUCUAAGUACCCCGAGGAAAAGAAAUCAACCGAGAUUCCCCCAGUAGCGGCGAGCGAACGGGGAGGAGCCCAGAGCCUGAAUCAGUGUGUGUGUUAGUGGAAGCGUCUGGAAAGGCGCGCGAUACAGGGUGACAGCCCCGUACACAAAAAUGCACAUAUUGUGAGCUCGAUGAGUAGGGCGGGACACGUGGUAUCCUGUCUGAAUAUGGGGGGACCAUCCUCCAAGGCUAAAUACUCCUGACUGACCGAUAGUGAACCAGUACCGUGAGGGAAAGGCGAAAAGAACCCCGGCGAGGGGAGUGAAAAAGAACCUGAAACCGUGUACGUACAAGCAGUGGGAGCCUCUUAAUGGGGUGACUGCGUACCUUUUGUAUAAUGGGUCAGCGACUUAUAUUCUGUAGCAAGGUUAACCGAAUAGGGGAGCCGAAGGGAAACCGAGUCUUAACUGGGCGUUAAGUUGCAGGGUAUAGACCCGAAACCCGGUGAUCUAGCCAUGGGCAGGUUGAAGGUUGGGUAACACUAACUGGAGGACCGAACCGACUAAUGUUGAAAAAUUAGCGGAUGACUUGUGGCUGGGGGUGAAAGGCCAAUCAAACCGGGAGAUAGCUGGUUCUCCCCGAAAGCUAUUUAGGUAGCGCCUCGUGAAUUCAUCUCCGGGGGUAGAGCACUGUUUCGGCAAGGGGGUCAUCCCGACUUACCAACCCGAUGCAAACUGCGAAUACCGGAGAAUGUUAUCACGGGAGACACACGGCGGGUGCUAACGUCCGUCGUGAAGAGGGAAACAACCCAGACCGCCAGCUAAGGUCCCAAAGUCAUGGUUAAGUGGGAAACGAUGUGGGAAGGCCCAGACAGCCAGGAUGUUGGCUUAGAAGCAGCCAUCAUUUAAAGAAAGCGUAAUAGCUCACUGGUCGAGUCGGCCUGCGCGGAAGAUGUAACGGGGCUAAACCAUGCACCGAAGCUGCGGCAGCGACACUAUGUGUUGUUGGGUAGGGGAGCGUUCUGUAAGCCUGUGAAGGUGGCCUGUGAGGGUUGCUGGAGGUAUCAGAAGUGCGAAUGCUGACAUAAGUAACGAUAAAGCGGGUGAAAAGCCCGCUCGCCGGAAGACCAAGGGUUCCUGUCCAACGUUAAUCGGGGCAGGGUGAGUCGACCCCUAAGGCGAGGCCGAAAGGCGUAGUCGAUGGGAAACAGGUUAAUAUUCCUGUACUUGGUGUUACUGCGAAGGGGGGACGGAGAAGGCUAUGUUGGCCGGGCGACGGUUGUCCCGGUUUAAGCGUGUAGGCUGGUUUUCCAGGCAAAUCCGGAGAAUCAAGGCUGAGGCGUGAUGACGAGGCACUACGGUGCUGAAGCAACAAAUGCCCUGCUUCCAGGAAAAGCCUCUAAGCAUCAGGUAACAUCAAAUCGUACCCCAAACCGACACAGGUGGUCAGGUAGAGAAUACCAAGGCGCUUGAGAGAACUCGGGUGAAGGAACUAGGCAAAAUGGUGCCGUAACUUCGGGAGAAGGCACGCUGAUAUGUAGGUGAAGCGACUUGCUCGUGGAGCUGAAAUCAGUCGAAGAUACCAGCUGGCUGCAACUGUUUAUUAAAAACACAGCACUGUGCAAACACGAAAGUGGACGUAUACGGUGUGACGCCUGCCCGGUGCCGGAAGGUUAAUUGAUGGGGUUAGCGGCAACGCGAAGCUCUUGAUCGAAGCCCCGGUAAACGGCGGCCGUAACUAUAACGGUCCUAAGGUAGCGAAAUUCCUUGUCGGGUAAGUUCCGACCUGCACGAAUGGCGUAAUGAUGGCCAGGCUGUCUCCACCCGAGACUCAGUGAAAUUGAACUCGCUGUGAAGAUGCAGUGUACCCGCGGCAAGACGGAAAGACCCCGUGAACCUUUACUAUAGCUUGACACUGAACAUUGAGCCUUGAUGUGUAGGAUAGGUGGGAGGCUUUGAAGUGUGGACGCCAGUCUGCAUGGAGCCGGCCUUGAAAUACCACCCUUUAAUGUUUGAUGUUCUAACGUGGGCCCCUAAUCGGGGUUGCGGACAGUGUCUGGUGGGUAGUUUGACUGGGGCGGUCUCCUCCUAAAGAGUAACGGAGGAGCACGAAGGUUGGCUAAUCCUGGUCGGACAUCAGGAGGUUAGUGCAAUGGCAUAAGCCAGCUUGACUGCGAGCGUGACGGCGCGAGCAGGUGCGAAAGCAGGUCAUAGUGAUCCGGUGGUUCUGAAUGGAAGGGCCAUCGCUCAACGGAUAAAAGGUACUCCGGGGAUAACAGGCUGAUACCGCCCAAGAGUUCAUAUCGACGGCGGUGUUUGGCACCUCGAUGUCGGCUCAUCACAUCCUGGGGCUGAAGUAGGUCCCAAGGGUAUGGCUGUUCGCCAUUUAAAGUGGUACGCGAGCUGGGUUUAGAACGUCGUGAGACAGUUCGGUCCCUAUCUGCCGUGGGCGCUGGAGAACUGAGGGGGGCUGCUCCUAGUACGAGAGGACCGGAGUGGACGCAUCACUGGUGUUCGGGUUGUCAUGCCAAUGGCACUGCCCGGUAGCUAAAUGCGGAAGAGAUAAGUGCUGAAAGCAUCUAAGCACGAAACUUGCCCCGAGAUGAGUUCU